ACACGGGGGUUGCAAGCGUUGUCCGGAAUUACUAGGCGUAAAGGGCAGGUAGGCGGAUAGAUAAGUUUUUUGUCAAAGGCAACGGCUCACCCGUUGUACGGCAGGAGAUACUGUUUAUCUGGAAUGCGGUUGGGGAAGACAGAAUUCCUGGUGUAGCGGUGGAAUGCGCAGAGAUCAGGAGGAAUACCAAAGGCGAAGGCAGUCUUCUAAGCCGUUAUUGACGCUAAACUGCGAAGGUGUGGGUAUCAAACAGGAUUAGAUACCCUGGUAGUCCACACAGUAAACGAUAAUCACUAGGUGUCGGUGUCGUAGAGACUUCGGUGCCGUAGCUAACGCGAUAAGUGAUUCGCCUGGGGAGUACGAUCGCAAGGUUGAG
Molecule: ribosomal RNA, 376 nt
Filed under: uncultured bacterium
Lineage: Bacteria
Description: bacterial SSU rRNA
Rfam family: Bacterial small subunit ribosomal RNA
Source: RNAcentral